GAUGAACGCUGGCGGCGUGCUUAACACAUGCAAGUCGAACGUGAGGGUGCAGCGAUGUGCCUGAAAGUGGCGAACGGGUGAGUAACACGUAGAUGACCUGCCCUGGAGUGGGGGAUAACCAUUGGAAACGGUGGCUAAUACCGCACACAUCCGGAGAACUGGGAAGUUUUCUGGGGAAAGCUCUGGUGCUUCAGGAGGGGUCUGCGUCCGAUUAGCUAGUUGGUGGGGUAAAGGCUCACCAAGGCGACGAUCGGUAGCUGGUCUGAGAGGACGAUCAGCCACACGGGAACUGAGACACGGUCCCGACUCCUACGGGGGCGA
This 321-nucleotide ribosomal RNA is filed under the name uncultured bacterium. RNAcentral's name for it is "bacterial SSU rRNA". It matches the Rfam family "Bacterial small subunit ribosomal RNA", at positions 28 to 350 of the family's 1533-position model. The record is from RNAcentral.